This is a long non-coding RNA of Chelonia mydas (Green sea turtle), 339 nucleotides long. RefSeq lists it as uncharacterized. Lineage: Eukaryota; Metazoa; Chordata; Testudines; Cheloniidae. The transcript is spliced from 3 exons. The record is from RefSeq and is a predicted model, not a curated record.
UUAUACUAAAGAACUUAUUCCCUAGAAUUUGCUUGUGAGAAGUUAUUUAGGAAGCUGAACCUAUCGGAAGAAAGACUCACAGGACAUGUUCUUGGUGAACAGCCUGAAAGGGAGGCAUGGUGGCUAAACAUUUAACAUAUCGACUGGAGAGUCCUUUCCAAAUUCAGUGUGUACUCCUCGAGGAAAAAGAGAUAACUCAGGAGUUGCUAAACUUUAGGGAUUAUUGGAUGUUCUUAGACCUCAAUCUAUCUGUGGGACAGAUUUUGUUAUCCUGGCUCACCUCUGAAUGAUAUCAAAUACUGAAUGUCAGUGAAAUGACAAAUUUGGCCUACAUACAAG